CUCUGCCGCCGCAUGGAGCCGGGCGCCUUCCGAGGUGGAGUCCGCAGGAGGGGCGUGCGCAGGGCUUGCGGGUUAUGCUGUCCUUCAGUUUUAAGAAGCUCAACAAGUGCUGGCGGGAGCACAGCACGCACCUGGGAGGCAACAAAGAAAUUCCUGUGUGCCAAAACUGGCACUUACAGCCACUCUUCUCUGUGACUGCAGUCAGUGCAUAACCUUCUGUCUCAGAUUCCCCAUGCAUGAAAUGAGGCUAGUAAUGUUUAUCCACCUACUGUGAGGGUUGAUAGAGCAAAUCAUUAUUAUUCUGUGGGGAUGGGAGGGCAGGAAGAAAUCCCAUUGAAAUAAUGAAUAUCUACAGGAGCAAGAGAACACAGAGAAAAGAAAGAGGCUUAGGGGCAUAUGCUCUUAUAGCACAAAGCAAAAUGAUUCUCCACUGAGAACAGCAUGAAUAUGAAAACCACACACCAGAUGCAGUAUGCCGAGCAUCAAAUGUAUGUAAAUUAUUCUGUUUGUCUUUUGGUGCAUUUCCUCAUCAUUCAUGAAUGGUUUUGUGCUUAACAUCUGAGAGAGAAUUUAAGGAGUUGGGUUCUGUUACAGUGGGUGUUGCAGACACACAGUUAGAGUUGGGAGGGAGUUUGGUG
This 638-nucleotide long non-coding RNA is filed under the name Struthio camelus australis. Its description in RNAcentral is "lncRNA (ENSSCUG00000012419.1)". Lineage: Eukaryota; Metazoa; Chordata; Aves; Struthioniformes; Struthionidae. The record is from RNAcentral.